Molecule: transfer RNA, 72 nt
Filed under: Danionella translucida
Lineage: Eukaryota; Metazoa; Chordata; Actinopteri; Cypriniformes; Danionidae
Also listed under: 1 other name
Rfam family: tRNA
About the family: Transfer RNA (tRNA) molecules are approximately 80 nucleotides in length.
Source: Rfam by way of RNAcentral
GGGGGUAUAGAUCAGUGGUAGAGCAUUUGACUGCAGAUCAAGAGGUCUCCAGUUCAAAUCUGGGUGCCCCCU